CCAGAGACAUCGUGUUAAGGCUGUAAACUCUGACACAACUCCAUAACACCACGCCAGAGGGACAAAAUGACUCUCCUUCUGAUUGGCUCAAUGUGCAUCAGCUGUCGCUCGUUCACACUUUCAGCAUUUGUGAUGUCUACCCUUGGCGCAGUUUAGGCCUUUUCCUGGGUCAGGAGGUUUCGAAUCUAUCUUUUGAAAGACAAAGGCUGUCGACUCCUUCACCUGUUAUUCUGUGUCCCACAACCAGAUAUUCAUUUUAAGCAGCCCCAGAAAAAUGACAACAUUAAGUUUUCUCCAAAUGCAUAUGGAGAGAAAAAUCAAGGUUGGCUUUUUGGCGAGAGGUGGAGUCUGAACGACACAGGAGCCCUGAGAUUGUUGUAUAUCUGAUCGAGGUUCACAUGGAUGGUGGUCCUGCUGCUGUGGUACUGCACGACUCAUAACAAUCGUCAUUAUUAUUGUGUUUUAAAGCUUGUAUUAUUAGUAUCAAUACUAUUAUCAAAAUAAUUCAUAUUUCAAAUAUUA
This is a long non-coding RNA of Acanthopagrus latus (yellowfin seabream), 522 nucleotides long. RefSeq lists it as uncharacterized. The record is from RefSeq and is a predicted model, not a curated record. Lineage: Eukaryota; Metazoa; Chordata; Actinopteri; Spariformes; Sparidae. The transcript has 2 exons.